RNAcentral lists this long non-coding RNA (1303 nucleotides) under Ornithorhynchus anatinus (platypus). RNAcentral's name for it is "lncRNA (ENSOANG00000049199.1)". The record is from RNAcentral. Lineage: Eukaryota; Metazoa; Chordata; Mammalia; Monotremata; Ornithorhynchidae.
CAGAGGGCGGAGUGGGGAGCAGAGAGGAAGCAGAGGGAACAGAGGGAAAAGGGGUAGCUCAGUUUGGGAAGGCCUCUUGGAGGAGGUGAGCUCUCAACACAUACCACGGUUAUUAUUAUUAUCAUUAUUAUCACUAUUAAAAUUCUUGUUAUUAUCAUUUGUUCUCUAGCCCCCUGGAGAACAGUCAUCUGCCCCUGAGAAAUCUAUCAAGUUUUUCUGAACUUCAGGCAUUUUGCAAUGUGAGAAAUGCACUGGUCAACCACAAGCACUGUGCUAAACAAAAUGUCCGAAGAGCAAGAGCCAGAACUGACGAGAUUGCUUGGUUCAGCCAUUCUAGGUUUGGUUCAAUGAUUAGGAGCAUACAGUAAAGAUGAAAGACACAGACUUGUCCUCAAGGAUUUUACAUUGCAAAGAGGAGAGGUUCACCUUACUUUAGUCCUAAAUCGGGCCCAAAAGACAGAAGGUGAGUCUCUCUUUGUUUUUAUUUUUUGUUGAUGUUGUUUUUGUUUUUUAAUGGUGUUUGUAAAGCACUAUGUGCCAGACACACAACCGAGUCCCUUCAGCCUCUGAUUUCAAGCAAGUCAGAGACAGGGGAAUGAAACCCUGAAGGAAGUUAGAUUGUGACUAACCACUAGGUGACACUGUCUCUAUUCCUUGAGCUUGGUGGACCCGUUUAGAACCAGGAGAACCGAUUUUUCUCCGCCAUCCUUUAAAAGCGAUCCAGGCCAAACCAUCUGCCAAACUGAAAUUUAAGGAAGCCUAUCCCUAUUGGGAUGGGAGAGAAACACAUGCAUGCACACCCACAUGCGUGAAUUCAAAUAAAUUCACGGACUAGCACGCCUGUAUCGUUCUCUCUCUUUCCAUCUCCCCCUCUGAGGAAGGACCUUCUAGUGGAGGGAAACGUUGCUGUCAAACGGCCUCCCUCAGGAUCAACCACAUUUCCAGGCAGAUUGGGACUGGAGAUGAGAGCCAGGAUUGAAGGAAGGGAGAGAGCCGGUGAAAGAGCCAAGAGAAACACUGCAGAUUAAAAAAAAAAAUGGUAUUCGUUAAGCGCUUACCAUGGGCAAAGCACUGUUCUAAGCGCUGGGGGAUAUAAGGUGAUCAGGUUGUCCCGUGUGGGGCUCACAGUUUUAAUCCCCACUUUACAGACGAGGUAACUGAGGCACAGAGAAGUUAAGUGAUUUGCCCAAAGUCACACAGCUGGCAAGCGGCGGAGCCGGGAUUCGAACCCAUGAACACUGACUCCCAAGCCCGGGCUCUUUCCACUGUACCAGGCUACUUCUCUGUAAUAAUAUAAUGUAAU